Molecule: long non-coding RNA, 1325 nt
Filed under: Coturnix japonica (Japanese quail)
Lineage: Eukaryota; Metazoa; Chordata; Aves; Galliformes; Phasianidae
Description: lncRNA (ENSCJPG00005009160.1)
Source: RNAcentral
UUUCACCUUUUCUUCCCUUCUUUUUCUCUUUCCUCAGAUAAACCAAAGAUGAAACAUGCGAAUCCUGGAAAAGAGAAAGAACUGAAAUAUUCAGCUGCUAUCAAGGAUAAAGAACAUUCUAAAGAAAAGGAAGGAAAGAAUCCUACAGCUUUAAAAGAUAAAGAAUCACUGAAAGGAAAAAAUCCCAAGAAUCCAGAAGAGUCAAAGGAAAAAGAGACUGCUAAAAGAAAAGAUGUGAUGCCUCCAACAGUCUUAAAGGAAAAGGACUCUUCAAAAGGAAAGGAAAUGAAAGUUCCAGCUAUGACAAAGGAGAAAGGCACUUCAGAGAAACCUCAUGACCACAAGCAUGAACAUAUUAAACAUGAAAAAUCAAUCUCUCACACUAAGCCAGAGGAGAAAAUUAAACAACAAAAGAGAGGCCUCACCGAGAGUUCAGCCCAAGCUAAGCCAGCAAAGCAUGAAGCAGUCAGGCAUGAAAAAGAUGUUCUACCUACAAAGCCCGUCAAACUGAAAACAACUUCAAAGUCAACGGUUGAAAUCCCAGUAACAGCCCCGAAGAAAAGAAAGACGUCUAAGGAAAAAGAAGGUAGGAAAUUACUCUGUGUAUUCAUAUAUGUGUAGAUGGAAGAUCACAAGGAUGAUCAGAGGACUCAAGCACCUCUCCUCUGAAGACAGGUGGAAGGAGCUGGGCUUGUUCAGCUUUCCUUGGGAGAUCCUUUUUCAGUCUUUCAAUACUUAAAGUGAGGAGAGGGACAGACUUUUUACAUGGUCUGGUAAUGAUAGGACAAGGGGGAAUGAUUUUAACCAAAAGAGGUGAGAAAUAGUUUAGAUAUUAGGCAGAAAUUCUUCACUUAGAGACUGGUGAGACACUGAAACAAGUUUCCCAGAGAAGCUGUGGGUGCCUCAUACCUGUAAGUCUUCAGGCUUGACUUAGUCAUUUGCAACCCUGACUAUAGCAGGGGGCAUAGAACUAGCUGUUGUUCUCUUCCAACCCAAGCCUUCCUACGAUUCUAACUUUAAAAUACUUCAGAUCAUAAUCUUGCAUGUAUUUGUAUAUGGAAAAAAAAAACAAAAAAAACAAAAAACAAAAAAAAAAAAACAAAAAAAACAAAAAAAACCCAACUCCUAAAAUAUCUAUAUUAAUUUUCAAAGAAUUGUAUUUGAAAAGUCUAGGUAAUAAUCUAAUAAGAAUUAGAAUUAAAAAUAUCUCCAACCUUGAACUCUGUUACCUGUCCCUUUCCUUUUUCUGCCUAGAAAAAACAACUGAGAAGAAACCUCUGAAAGAUGAAAAACACAAAGGUAAUAAAGGGAUGAAAAUCUCUGCA